AUUGAACGCUGGCGGCAUGCCUUACACAUGCAAGUCGAACGGUAACAGGUCUUCGGAUGCUGACGAGUGGCGAACGGGUGAGUAAUACAUCGGAACGUGCCCGAUCGUGGGGGAUAACGAAGCGAAAGCUUUUCUAAUACCGCAUACGAUCUACGGAUGAAAGCAGUGGACCGCAAGGCCUUGCGCGAACGGAGCGGCCGAUGGCAGAUUAGGUAGUUGGUGGGAUAAAAGCUUACCAAGCCGACGAUCUGUAGCUGGUCUGAGAGGACGACCAGCCACACUGGGACUGAGACACGGCCCAGACUCCUACGGGAGGCAGCAGUGGGGAAUUUUGGACAAUGGGCGAAAGCCUGAUCCAGUCAUGCCGCGUGCAGGAUGAAGGCCUUCGGGUUGUAAACUGCUUUUGUACGGAACGAAAAGACUCUGGUUAAUACCUGGGGUCCAUGACGGUACCGGAAGAAUAAGCACCGGCUAACUACGUG
RNAcentral lists this ribosomal RNA (482 nucleotides) under uncultured bacterium. Its description in RNAcentral is "partial 16S ribosomal RNA". It matches the Rfam family "Bacterial small subunit ribosomal RNA", at positions 30 to 507 of the family's 1533-position model. The record is from RNAcentral.